Molecule: ribosomal RNA, 490 nt
Filed under: uncultured bacterium
Lineage: Bacteria
Description: partial 16S ribosomal RNA
Rfam family: Bacterial small subunit ribosomal RNA
Source: RNAcentral
GAUGAACGCUAGCUACAGGCUUAACACAUGCAAGUCGCAGGGUAACAUGAGGAAAGCUUGCUUUCCUUGAUGACGACUGGCGCACGGGUGAGUAACGCGUAUCCAACCUUCCCAUAACUACGGGAUAACCCGUUGAAAGACGGCCUAAUACCGUAUGAUAUCGUUUGCUGACAUCAAAUAACGAUUAAAGGUUUAGCGGUUAUGGAUGGGGAUGCGUCUGAUUAGCUUGUUGGCGGGGUAACGGCCCACCAAGGCGACGAUCAGUAGGGGUUCUGAGAGGAAGGUCCCCCACAUUGGAACUGAGACACGGUCCAAACUCCUACGGGAGGCAGCAGUGAGGAAUAUUGGUCAGUGGGCGAGAGCCUGAACCAGCCAAGUAGCGUGCAGGAUGACGGCCCUAUGGGUUGUAAACUGCUUUUAUGUGGGGAUAAAGUGCGUGACGUGUCAUGCAUUGCAGGUACCACAUGAAUAAGGACCGGCUAAUUCCGUG